RNAcentral lists this long non-coding RNA (647 nucleotides) under Pan troglodytes (chimpanzee). Its description in RNAcentral is "long non-coding RNA NONPTRT009659". Lineage: Eukaryota; Metazoa; Chordata; Mammalia; Primates; Hominidae. The record is from RNAcentral.
GGCCUCCCUGGGCCGCAUCACGUCUGGCCUGGCUCAGGUGCAGCCUGGGACCUGGGCUUGCUCGGAGCCUCCCUGCGCGGCACCCCCAGGUUGCUAACCACAGGUCUUCCCCUCCUGUCAGUCGGUUGUCAGGAGGGCUGGCCCGCCCCUCCGCUGGGGUGCGUUUUCAGUCGGGGGCAGAAUUGCUGCCGGUGUGAGGCGUCGGGCCCUAUCUGCCGUCUGGAGGGCGGGAAGAGAGCACUGCAUAUAGAGUUUUGCUUUUCUUGCUUGUCAGCUGAGACCCUGCUCCCACUGCUGUAGCUGUCUCCCCUGAUGUGGUUGUCACCUUGGCGUCCUCCAGCCUGGCAGAGCCCAGCUCAUCAGGGUGGCUUCUGCUGGAACCACGGCCGGUCCAAAAGGCUCUUUAAUCACCACUUUAUUCAUUCACGGAACAUCUGCUGAGCCGGGCCUGUCCAGCAUCUGCAGGUGACACUGGGAACGGAGGAAAGGGGUCUGCCCUGGUGCUGCCCAGCAGACAGGUGCAGGCGGCCUGCGCUCCCCCCUCCACUCAUAUACACACCACACACACAAGCUCGGAUGCAUGCACACAUUCUCUCUCUCUCUCUCUGUCUCUCUCUCUCUCUCUGUCUCUCUCUCUCUCUCUCUAU